This 308-nucleotide transfer-messenger RNA is filed under the name Bryobacterales bacterium. RNAcentral's name for it is "partial transfer-messenger RNA". It matches the Rfam family "transfer-messenger RNA", at positions 1 to 326 of the family's 374-position model. From Rfam's summary of the family: Bacterial tmRNA, also known as 10Sa RNA or SsrA, is named for its dual tRNA and mRNA-like properties. Its role is to liberate the mRNA from a stalled ribosome. The record is from RNAcentral. Lineage: Bacteria; Pseudomonadati; Acidobacteriota; Terriglobia; Bryobacterales.
GGGGGCGCCCCGGUUUCGACGGGAUUGAAUCGUAGUGGGAAGGCGCGCCGGGUUCCGAGCUCCCGUAAAACGAUCGGAAAAACACAACUGCCAACAAUCAGCAGUUUGCAUACGCUGCUUAAUUAAUUAAGCGGCCGUUCCAGCCGGUGAGUCCGUGCGCCGGUGAGUGAACGUCAUCUUACGGAAUAGGCCCUAAGCUUCGGUCCGGAGCGGAAGGCCGAGAUCAAUCGGACUAGGCCGCCGUUAUUCUUGCCGCUUCUGAGGCGUCGGCCGAAUCUACGGAAGCGGAUACGCGCGUAGUUCUUUUC